GGGGUUGUGGUUCAGUGGUAGCACACUUGCCUCACAUGCAUGAGGUACUGGGUUCAAUCCUCAGCACCA
Molecule: transfer RNA, 69 nt
Filed under: Ictidomys tridecemlineatus (thirteen-lined ground squirrel)
Lineage: Eukaryota; Metazoa; Chordata; Mammalia; Rodentia; Sciuridae
Description: Spermophilus tridecemlineatus (thirteen-lined ground squirrel) tRNA
Rfam family: tRNA
About the family: Transfer RNA (tRNA) molecules are approximately 80 nucleotides in length.
Source: Rfam by way of RNAcentral